RNAcentral lists this ribosomal RNA (440 nucleotides) under uncultured bacterium. Its description in RNAcentral is "partial 16S ribosomal RNA". It matches the Rfam family "Bacterial small subunit ribosomal RNA", at positions 338 to 795 of the family's 1533-position model. The record is from RNAcentral.
CCUACGGGAGGCAGCAGUGGGGAAUAUUGCACAAUGAGGGCGACCCUGAUGCAGCGACGCCGCGUGAAGGAUGACGUCUUUCCGUGUGUAAACUUCUAUCAGCAGGGAAGAAAAUUACGGUACCUGUCUAUUUUUCCCCGGCUAACUUCGUGCAAGCCGCCGCGGUAAUACGUAGGGGGCCAGCGUUAUCCGGAUUUACUGGGUGUAAAGGGAGCGUAGUCGGCAGUGCAAGUCUGGUGUGAAAGGCGGGGGCUCAACCCCAAGACUGCACUGGAAACUGGAAGGCUGGAGUGCAGGAGAGGUAAGUGGAAUGCCUAGUGUAGCGGUGAAAUGCGUAGAUAUUAGGAGGAACACCAGUGGCGAAGGCGGCUUACUGAACUGUAACUGACGUUGAGGCUCGAAAGCGUGGGGAGCAAACAGGAUUAGAUACCCUAGUAGUC